Mustela lutreola (European mink) is the source of this 5636-nucleotide long non-coding RNA. RefSeq lists it as uncharacterized. The record is from RefSeq and is a predicted model, not a curated record. NCBI's taxonomy places the organism in Eukaryota, Metazoa, Chordata, Mammalia, Carnivora, Mustelidae. The transcript is spliced from 3 exons.
ACACCUAAGUAUAAAUACAAAUUUUAUUCCAACAAUAAGAUAAUCUUUCUUUCCUUUUUACUUAGACAUUGUAUUAGUUUCCUCUGGCUGCCAUAACAAAUACCACAAACCAGAUGUCUUUUUAUUUUUUCACAAACCCAUCCUGACAGCUACAAGUCCGAGAUCAAGAGCCUAUAGGUUUGGUUUCCUCUGAACCCCUCUCCUUGGCUGUGGAUAGAUUUCUUCCUGUGUCUUCACACGAUCUUCCCUCUGUGUGUAUCAGUGUCCUAAUCUCUUCUUACUAGUCAUAUUGGAUCAGGGCCCACCCUAAUGACCUCAUUUAACAAAAUUAUCUCUUUCAAGUUCCUAUCUCCUAUCGCCCUCGCCCCGCAAGGAUGACAAGAACCCCGGUUCGGAUGCAUCUUCUCUCUCUUUAUUUCUGCAAGUCUACACACUUAUAUAAGCUUACAUGACCAAUCAGCGAGCAGGGUACAGGAGGGAGCGAAUCAGGCUGUGCACCUAAACGAACAACUUUGCUAGCAACCAAUGCUGUUUACUUCCUCUUGGGCAUUCUGCUUAGUCUCAGGAGGCAAUCUUAACCUGGCAACUAGCCAGGCGCCAUCUUUUAAUGGCGGAGGCCGCCCUGGCCAGGGGCCUGCCUCCGACAAUCUCCAAAUACAGUCACAUUCUGAGGUCCUGGCAGUGAGGACCUCAACAUAUGAAAUGUGGGAAGGAGAACACAAUUCAGCCCAUAACACUCAUAAUGUGAACUCAAUUCUUUGUGCACAGGCAUCUAAGGAGAAGACCCAAAUGCAGAAUGAAGUAUAAGAGAAGCAAUUACUGAGAUAAACAAAAGCUACUACACAUCCCCAUUUUAUAGCUGUGCUCGGCGUUGUUUCUGGAGGAAACUUCCAGAGCAGGAAGAAGUCGAUACAUACUUGGUAGAUUGUAAUAGACUAUUCAGAGAAACGUGUUGACUAUUUUCUUGACUUGAAUGAAAAAUAUGCAAAAGAAACCAUUUCCAGUCUUUUAUCUGAUUCUGUAAGAAUUCUGAGCACCAAACUAUACUCUGCUCUGUGGAAAGCAAGAUCCAGUGGGAAUCUUUUGGGUUUAUACAUAUAUUAUUGUCAGAGUAAGGAUAGUAAUCCACCUGUUAUACAAUAUUAUCUUGACAUGCAUUCUUAAUGAAUUGGGUCUUUCAGUUUAUGUGCACCCAUAAAACUUAACAGUUCAACCUCCUCAUAGCCAUAUUCAUCACUUCCCAUCAGAGAAAAUAACAUUUUAUUGUAAAAUUACAAUUUUUUUAAAUUUAGAGCUCUAGUUUCUAAGAUAAGAAAACAGACAUGUCAUUUGGGGGCAAGAAUAGAAACAAAGUAAACAGAAGAAACAACUUUUUGAACACAUUUCUCUACAUACUUUCACAGUAUUUGAAAAACAUUUCUUUUUUGCUCAUCUUCUGACUACGCAGUGAACCAAAUUAUGUAAGUUAAAAAUAAAAGAAGUCUUACUGGCUAUUUGCCUUAAAUGAAGAGACAUCUUUCCACCCCAAAGCAACAGCAAAACUAAAAUCCCUAAAUGAAAAGAUGUCAUCUUCUCUUACCACUAUGGUCCCUAGUUAGGAAUUUGGUUACAAGUAAGGAUAACUUGGUGAUGCCCAUAUUAUCAGACUCCUCUUGACUUCUCUCUCUUGCACACAUUGAAUGGCUUACUGAUUUAUUUUCUCCACAUAUACCAUGCUUGGCUUCUGUCUCGUGUGCAAUAGGUCUUUGGUAUCAUAUCUUCUUCCUGUUAUCUCAGAUAACUUUGAUGACUACUUAAAUUCUACUUCCCUGGCUAACUUCUCUUUCCUUUCCACUUUUGACUACCAGGGGACAAAUUUUAAUGUUUCACAAUGCAGGAUAUAAUUUUUACGCGGGGCCUAAUAGCUAGAUGAGCUUAGAAAUUUAAGAAAGGUGAAUUGGGCCACUUGGUACUUUUUCAUGUAAGGAAAACAAACAACUUGUGUGCCUCGGUGUUGCUUCUGGAGGAACUUUCCAGAGCACAAAGCAGUCAGUACUAACUCUUAGUAUGAUGUGUCCAUCCCGUCUCCAGUCCUGUGAUGUCAACGUGAUUUCUUGCCAGGCCUGAAGAAGUUCGGAUUAGGGUGUGAAUAGGUACCAUCUUUGUUCUUAGAGAUGACUGGUAGGGACCUUGUUAUUGUUACAGACAAGGGCGAUUUUAGUGUUAAUUUGAAUGCAUCAGAAGAGUUUAAGUUAGAAUUUCAAAGAAAUGGAUGAAUCCUUCAAAUCUCAAUUCUCCUCUAUGGUAUGAAAGAAAUAGCCUCUUCUUUUAAAAGAUCAUAAAAUUAUCCCAAAUCACCAGAGCCCAAUGCUGAACAACACAGCCCAUAGUUACCACGAGGAAUAGGGUUAAAAUUCGCUCUCCAGUGACAAAUCCCAACCCGGAACAGAUUUCAGCCAGGCAGCUAGCAGAGCGCGCGGGGUGAACUGCAGAGGCCAUGGUGGGUGCAGAGCUCAGAGCCGGAAAGCAAACAGCUGCUGUAGCCUGAUUUGAGUUAAAAUAGUGUGAGUGUUUAGUCUGGCGCACGGUUUCAGGGGAGAUUGGCAGCUGGGUCAAACAAAGUCCUUCCAUUGGCUCUCUUCCCAGGCAGCUUCUGCUAGUAUUUAGGUACUAGUGCAGUGUAGGGCCCUUUUCUCAGGCAAACGCUAACAUCUGACCGCACCCUCUUUGCUUUUUCCAAAAAAAAAAAAAGAAAAAAAAAAAGAAAAAGAAAAAAAAAAAAGAAAGAAAAGAAAAGAAAAAGGAAAAAAAAAAGGAAAAAAAAACCCUUUUCUUUCUUUCGUUAAGAUAAAUUCUCCAAUAGACAACCUCUCCCACUAAUUGUGUAUUAGCAAUGUAUUUUAUCUUGAGAGCUGACGCACUGGGCUCUCAACGUGGUGUGGAAAGCAGCCUGUUACAGUGCUGGAUUCAUAAAAGGGCCUUUAUGGUUUGUGAAAGAAUAUCUGUGUGCUUAGGCAGGAAACUUUUUGAUCUGCAGAAAAGCCAGAAGACAUCUAGGUAAGGCUACAUAUCAAAUCUACUUUUGGGGGGAAAAGUUGGGCAGUGAGGAGGAUUCCUCACCACCUACGUGACUUUGGACGGCGCACAUUCACUUUGGUAGAAGUUUAAAAGGGCAUCCUUGAAGAUUAAUAAGAGACCUAUUCAGUCACCUAUAAAGGGAAAAACUUAAAAUGGAUAUGAGAAGUGAAGAAGGUGAUCAUAGGAGAAAAUCAUCUCAGGUAAAAAUAAAAAACAAAAGAGCAAUUUGCUGUUUUAAUAUUUUUAAAGAAAAAAAAACAGUGUUGACUGUGUUUAGUUCUAAGAAUUCGUUUCAUAGUCUUUAUGGAUCUAUCUGUUGGGAUUUUCAUUGAUGGCUUGAGAAUUUGUACUAUUACCUACCUUUGUGACAAAUUUUUGUCUGAGUUUAUGAUCAAUGUGCAGUCUGAGUCCCUUGGAAUUAUGUAUCUGUAUAUCCAUUCAUAUAUCUAUAUAUCCAUUAAUGUAACGAUUGACUAGAAAGUAAUUUAGAAAAAGAAAAAAUAUAUUUUUUCAUUUGUAAUACCAUAAAAAAGGUAGUGAAAUCUGGAGGGAGGUAAUAAAGUUGUGCUUUUUAAAAAAUAUGACCUAAUAAGAGAAUGAAACCAAAAUAUACAUUCUUAUAAUUAUGAUAAAACCAAAACAAAUGUUGCUUUUUAUUUCACAUCUAAGUUUAUGAAUACAUGUUAAGAUAUUUUUACUAUAAUUGAAUGCAAUUAUGACUGUUGAUUUUUUACUAUAGUUUUUAGCAAGUAUGGGAAUAAUUAGAAAAUAAAUAAUGGUAAAAACUUACAUAGACCACAUUAUCUAUAUAAUGUCUAUAAAACACAUUUUAUUUUAUUUCAAAACAUGCAAAAACACGAAGCAAUUUUUAUGUAGUAUUACUAUUUUUCACAAUGAAGAUAUAGUUUAGAAAUGCUAAAUAUACUGGAUAUGAGUGAAACGAUUAAUGAUUGUACAACUUACAGUUUUGUUUCUGUUGAGCUUAAGAAUCUUAAAAAACGUGUAUGUGGCUGGCUUUAUGUUUAUUCUUUGUGUGUUUGCUUAUUGUGUGGUGGUUUAAAUAUUUUUUUUAAUAACAAUUUAUUUUUGCCCAACCCGUUGACCAGGUAAGAGUUGUAAGUAGCUAUAUGUUAUGUUUUAAGAAUAUCUUUUUAAAAAAUAAAUUUAUUGUGUUUAAGAGGCAAGUUAGAUCUUCUUCCAUACAGUAGAUCUGAAGUAUAAAUUUUAGUAGUAGUAACACUGUUAAUAGUAAUAAUGUUGUUAAUAUGUCAUUAAUUUUAGUUUUCUGAUAUUUAUCCAAAUAUUGUUAAUUUCAGUAUUAUUCCAACUAUAGACACAUAUGUAUACUUUUAAGACUUUUUAGUGACUUCCUGUGUUCUCUGCCUAGUCAACAAGAUCUCCCUUGUUUUAUGAGAAAGUUACAAUGUUACCCAUUCCUUAAAAUCACUAACUGAGGUUUUAUAAAAGAGUUAAAACAAGCACAGUCUGAGCCUUACACAAUUAGCUUAAUAGUUAAUUUGGUCUUAAUUAUAGGCUGGUAAUACUACAUUCAUGCUUCACAAUUACAUAAUUCAUACAUGCAUGUAUGGAUCCUUUUUUUUUUCUUUUAAAACUCAUUAUUAAUUAGAAUAGUCCAAAUCCAAAAUAUUCCCCAUUAAAACAAAAGUAAUCUGUGUAAAAUAUUUCAGUAUACGAUUCUUUAAAUUCUCAUGUAUAUAAACCUGUAUUUAGUGCAGAAUAUUCAUGAAGGCCUUUAACUGGGAAUAUGCAUACUAAGAUUAUUUUAGCAUUAAAAAUAUUAAUGGUGAAGGAUCAAUAUUAAUAUUUUCAUCUGAUUUUGUCAGAUAUUUACAACAAAUUCUGCAUUAAUAGAGAGCCCAAGUGAGAUGUUGCCCAUUGGCAUAAACCCGUAGAUCCGAUCUUGUGGUGAAAUGGACUGCGCAAGCUCGCUUCUAUGGGUCUGUGUCAGUGUGGUAAUCUAACACAAUGCUAUAGCCAAAUGCUGUUAAAUAAUAUCUCAGCCAAACUCCUGUUAAACUUUAGUCGAUUACUUUUUAAGUAUUUUAUAUUUUCCUUUAUUUCUCAAGUGUACAUUAACCGUCUUUGGUCUUUAGAGGCAACCUCCAAUUGUUGACCUCUAGGAAGGGUUUAUAGCAUAGCCAUUCAAAGUUGGAUUCCAAGUAUAGUAAGUUACUUAAGAAACUUGAAUUUUUUAUAAGAAGGUUUGAAACAAGAGCUGAAUAGAAACGAUUCAGAAACUUAAGUUCACAUUGUAGUGGUUAGUACACCUCAUCAGCUUCAAUAAGAAAAAGUAAAAGCUAUAACUGGAUUUAUAUAUUACUAUUGAGCUGAUUUCUCUUAAAUGAAGUUGAAUGCUUAUUGGCUUUUAAUAUUAUUAAUUGCUAGUAGAACUAUAUGUCAGGAGAGAUGUCAGGGGACAUUUUGUAUGCUGGAAACCCAAGAGGUUAGGAUAAUCCUAGUAGACACAUAUUAAGUCUAUUGGUGAAAUGUUAGAAUAUUAUAUCUACAUCCUUGCCAAGCCCAUAGGUAUAUGGCCGCCAUAUUUGGAGGAGCUGACU